This 390-nucleotide unclassified non-coding RNA is filed under the name soil metagenome. RNAcentral describes it as "partial contains 5.8S ribosomal RNA, internal transcribed spacer 2, and large subunit ribosomal RNA". The stretch from base 1 to 122 matches the Rfam family "5.8S ribosomal RNA", at positions 35 to 154 of the family's 154-position model. The record is from RNAcentral.
GAUGAAGAACGCAGCGAAAUGCGAUACUUGGUGUGAAUUGCAGAAUCCCGUGAACCAUCGAGUCUUUGAACGCAAGUUGCGCCCGAAGCCAUUAGGCCGAGGGCACGCCUGCCUGGGCGUCACACGUCGUUGCCCCCCCAUCUACUCCUUCGGGAUUGCGGGGGGCGGAUGAUGGCCUCCCGUGCGCCUCGUCGCGCGGUUGGCAUAAAUACCAAGUCCUCGGCGACGCACGCCACGACAAUCGGUGGUUGCGAAACCUCGGUUGCCCGUCGUGUGCGUUCGUCGCGCAUCGAGGGCUCGAAAAAAUGCUCGGCUCCGGCUGGGCUUUCAACGCGACCCCAGGUCAGGCGGGGUUACCCGCUGAAUUUAAGCAUAUCAAUAAGCGGAGGA